This 460-nucleotide long non-coding RNA is filed under the name Mus spicilegus (steppe mouse). RNAcentral describes it as "lncRNA (ENSMSIG00000024302.1)". The record is from RNAcentral. Lineage: Eukaryota; Metazoa; Chordata; Mammalia; Rodentia; Muridae.
CUUUCUCAGAACCACCUGGGCUCACUUGAGAUUCGUGGCCUUGAUUGUUUCAAGACUCCACCACGCUGCCUCUCCUGCUCUGGUGUGUCUUCCUCUGCCGGCUGCAGCCUAAAUACUGCCUCUCUAGAUCUCACCCACCACUUCCUGCUUCCAGAAAAUCAAAGCAGAAUGUCCCUGGACUUCAAGGGAGGAACUGCUUCUAACAGAGGGGACAAGAGAAACAGACUCCGCCCUUCUCCUCCAGGGCCAGGUAAGGAUGGAUGCAGUGUUAUGGGAAUUAUUGGUUCAGUCCCUGUAGGCAGAGCCAGAACCUAUGGGACCCUCUAACCACAUUUGAGUGAUGGUUGUCACCUGAGCACGAGGGAACAGGGAGGGGGUUGUCAGGAACAGUAUAAACUUCUAUGUAUGGCUAAAUCCCAGCCACACCCCAGGGAGACCAAUAGCACAGGCUGGGUGCUAG